This 147-nucleotide small RNA is filed under the name Muricomes intestini. RNAcentral describes it as "Clostridiales-1 RNA". The record is from RNAcentral. Lineage: Bacteria; Bacillati; Bacillota; Clostridia; Lachnospirales; Lachnospiraceae.
UGAUACCAGGGUCAAAAGGCCAUGCGUUUCAUGCUUGCAUGAAAAAGCAUGACCUUGGGACCCUACAUCAUUGAAGUGAUAAGGAAGUGUAUAUUGUGUCAGGAAUAAUGAAAAGAGAGCUGCACAUCCGCGGGAUGAGCUGUGUCA